This 1400-nucleotide ribosomal RNA is filed under the name uncultured bacterium. Its description in RNAcentral is "bacterial SSU rRNA". It matches the Rfam family "Bacterial small subunit ribosomal RNA". The record is from RNAcentral.
AGAGUUUGAUCCUGGCUCAGGAUGAACGCUAGCUAUAGGCUUAACACAUGCAAGUCGAGGGGCAGCAUGGUCUUAGCUUGCUAAGGCCGAUGGCGACCGGCGCACGGGUGAGUAACGCGUAUCCAACCUGCCUUACACUCUUGGACAGCCUUCUGAAAGGGAGAUUAAUACAAGAUGUUAUCAUGAGUAAGCAUUUUCGCAUGAUUAAAGGUUUACCGGUGUAAGAUGGGGAUGCGUUCCAUUAGAUAGUAGGCGGGGUAACGGCCCACCUAGUCUUCGAUGGAUAGGGGUUCUGAGAGGAAGGUCCCCCACAUUGGAACUGAGACACGGUCCAAACUCCUACGGGAGGCAGCAGUGAGGAAUAUUGGUCAAUGGACGAGAGUCUGAACCAGCCAAGUAGCGUGAAGGAUGAAGGUUCUAUGGAUUGUAAACUUCUUUUAUACGGGAAUAAACGGAUCCACGUGUGGAUUUUUGCAUGUACCGUAUGAAUAAGGAUCGGCUAACUCCGUGCCAGCAGCCGCGGUAAUACGGAGGAUCCGAGCGUUAUCCGGAUUUAUUGGGUUUAAAGGGAGCGUAGAUGGGUUGUUAAGUCAGUUGUGAAAGUUUGCGGCUCAACCGUAAAAUUGCAAUUGAUACUGGCAGUCUUGAGUACAGUUGAGGUAGGCGGAAUUCGUGGUGUAGCGGUGAAAUGCUUAGAUAUCACGAAGAACUCCGAUUGCGAAGGCAGCUUACUAACCUGUAACUGACAUUGAUGCUCGAAAGUGUGGGUAUCAAACAGGAUUAGAUACCCUGGUAGUCCACACGGUAAACGAUGAAUACUCGCUGUAGGCGAUAUACAGUCUGCGGCCAAGCGAAAGCAUUAAGUAUUCCACCUGGGGAGUACGCCGGCAACGGUGAAACUCAAAGGAAUUGACGGGGGCCCGCACAAGCGGAGGAACAUGUGGUUUAAUUCGAUGAUACGCGAGGAACCUUACCCGGGCUUAAAUUGCAACCGAAUAUGGCGGAAACGCUAUAGCUAGCAAUAGCGGUUGUGAAGGUGCUGCAUGGUUGUCGUCAGCUCGUGCCGUGAGGUGUCGGCUUAAGUGCCAUAACGAGCGCAACCCUUGCCGAUAGUUACUAACAGGUUAUGCUGAGGACUCUGUCGGGACUGCCAUCGUAAGAUGUGAGGAAGGUGGGGAUGACGUCAAAUCAGCACGGCCCUUACGUCCGGGGCUACACACGUGUUACAAUGGGGGGUACAGAGGGCUGCUACCACGCAAGUGGAUGCCAAUCCCAAAAACCUCUCUCAGUUCGGAUUGAAGUCUGCAACCCGACUUCAUGAAGCUGGAUUCGCUAGUAAUCGCGCAUCAGCCACGGCGCGGUGAAUACGUUCCCGGGCCUUGCACACACCGCCCGUCAAG